AAAGAUUCUCAACUCGUGUCUCAGUGUUGUUGCUCCAGAAGAGGUAAACUCUCCUGCGAGUAUUAGGAGCUACUGGUCACUCAAAAAUAGUGAGCAUUUGACUCUAUAUUUCUUUUAGUACUCUGUUUGGGGUUUUGUAUCUCAUUCAGUGCCAUUUUGAUCUCUCCACAUUAGCGUCUUGCUAUGUUUCUCAUGUUUCUUUUCGAGUUUCAUUUAAAUUGUUAUAGUUGUUGAUGUUAUAUUUAUGUUGUCUGCUCAAAAUUCUUAGAUUAAUAUUGAAAUCAUGCUCUCGAAUCCAUGAUUAAGACCUUGGCCGAGUCGUAUGUUUUUAAUUGUUCUUCGCUUUGAAUCUGCAUAGCUGAAUAUAUGUUGAAUUCGAUUUGCUUGUUCCUUGUUUUGUUUUCAACAUGCUCCUUUGUUUGGAUUGUUUAAUACUUUGACUAGAUUGUAUCCCUUUCCCUUUGUAACUCUAUAUAUUUUAGCUCAUCUUGCCAUAGUUUAACUAAUUAUUUGAGGAUUCACUAUUGGCUAUUCAAAUCUUAUCUUUGUUGUUUGUGUUUUGCAUCCACUGAAAGAGUCAUUAGUGGGGCACCUUAUUUCGACUUUGCUCCUUGAGAUCUCUUUAAGAAAGUUAAAAUAUGCAUUUCCUAGAGUUUUUAGUUUUAUACUUAAGCUUAAUAUAUAUCCUUUAAGAUCUUAACUUUUCUGUUUUGUUGGUGUUAAGUUCCUUUAAAUGUUUUCCCUUGUGUUAAAAAGUUAUCAAAACAUUCUAGUGCUUUCAUAUCUCUGAAUGAUGUUAUGAGGCUAUGCCAAUGAACCCCCUGUUUGGUUAUUAUCUUAGGAGAUUUGGUGUCUAAGUUAUUAGUAGUUGUAUUGUCAUCUACUAAGUUUAGUAACUCCAAUUUGCUCUCUGUUAUAAUGAGUUUCGAAAGAAA
This 935-nucleotide unclassified non-coding RNA is filed under the name Hevea brasiliensis (rubber tree). The record is from RNAcentral. Lineage: Eukaryota; Viridiplantae; Streptophyta; Magnoliopsida; Malpighiales; Euphorbiaceae.